This 468-nucleotide ribosomal RNA is filed under the name uncultured bacterium. RNAcentral's name for it is "partial 16S ribosomal RNA". It matches the Rfam family "Bacterial small subunit ribosomal RNA", at positions 28 to 507 of the family's 1533-position model. The record is from RNAcentral.
GACGAACGCUGGCGGCGUGCUUAACACAUGCAAGUCGAACGGAAAGGCCCUGCUUUUGUGGGGUGCUCGAGUUGCGAACGGGUGAGUAACACGUGAGUAACCUGCCCUUGACUUUGGGAUAACUUCAUGCAACUUGGUCUCAUACCGGAUAGGAGCUCCUGCUUCAUGGUGGGGGUUGGAUAGUUUCGGCGGUUGGUGAUGGACUCGCGGCUUAUCAGCUUGUUGGUGGGGUAGUGGCUUACCAAGGCUUUGACGGGUAGCCGGCCUGAGAGGGUGACAGGACACAUUGGGACUGAGAUAAGGCACAGACUCGUACGGGAGGCAGCAGUGGGGAAUAGUGCACAAGGGGCGGAAGCCUGAUGCAGCAACGCCGCGUGCGGGAUGACGGGAUGCGGGUUGUAAACCGAUGUCGCCUGUGACGAAGCGUGAGUGACGGUAAUGGGUAAAGAAGCACCGGCUAACUACGUG